Molecule: ribosomal RNA, 609 nt
Filed under: uncultured bacterium
Lineage: Bacteria
Description: bacterial SSU rRNA
Rfam family: Bacterial small subunit ribosomal RNA
Source: RNAcentral
GGGGUAACAGGGAAGAGCUUGCUUUUCCGCUGACGACCGGCGCACGGGUGAGUAACGCGUAUGCAAUCUACCUCUUACUGGGGUAUAGCCCAGAGAAAUUUGGAUUAAUCCCCCAUAGUACCAUUUGAUCGCAUGAUCAGUUGGUUAAAGGUUACGGUAAGAGAUGAGCAUGCGUCCCAUUAGUUAGUUGGCGAGGUAACGGCUCACCAAGACUUCGAUGGGUAGGGGUUCUGAGAGGAUGACCCCCCACACUGGUACUGAGACACGGACCAGACUCCUACGGGAGGCAGCAGUGAGGAAUAUUGCGCAAUGGACGAAAGUCUGACGCAGCCAUGCCGCGUGCAGGAAGACGGCGCUACGCGUUGUAAACUGCUUUUAUUUACAAAGAAACCUCAGGACGUGUCCUGAGCUGACGGUAGUAUUUGAAUAAGCACCGGCUAACUCCGUGCCAGCAGCCGCGGUAAUACGGAGGGUGCAAGCGUUAUCCGGAUUUAUUGGGUUUAAAGGGUCCGUAGGUGGACAAUUAAGUCAGCGGUGAAAUCCCACAGCUCAACUGUGGAACUGCCAUUGAUACUGAUUGUCUUGAGUACGUUAGAAGUUGGCGGAAUA